ACUUCGGUCUGGUGGCGAGUGGCGAACGGGUGAGUAAUGUAUCGGAACGUGCCUAGUAGCGGGGGAUAACUACGCGAAAGCGUAGCUAAUACCGCAUACGCCCUACGGGGGAAAGCAGGGGAUCGCAAGACCUUGCACUAUUAGAGCGGCCGAUAUCGGAUUAGCUAGUUGGUGGGGUAACGGCUCACCAAGGCGACGAUCCGUAGCUGGUUUGAGAGGACGACCAGCCACACUGGGACUGAGACACGGCCCAGACUCCUACGGGAGGCAGCAGUGGGGAAUUUUGGACAAUGGGGGAAACCCUGAUCCAGCCAUCCCGCGUGUGCGAUGAAGGCCUUCGGGUUGUAAAGCAC
Molecule: ribosomal RNA, 353 nt
Filed under: Achromobacter sp.
Lineage: Bacteria; Pseudomonadati; Pseudomonadota; Betaproteobacteria; Burkholderiales; Alcaligenaceae
Description: bacterial SSU rRNA
Rfam family: Bacterial small subunit ribosomal RNA
Source: RNAcentral